UUUUGCAAUGAUGUAUUGAAUUUCUUCACCUGAAUUAAUAACAAUGAAGAAGAAAUAUACGAGCUUUUUAACCCUGAGC
Molecule: small nucleolar RNA, 79 nt
Filed under: Notamacropus eugenii (tammar wallaby)
Lineage: Eukaryota; Metazoa; Chordata; Mammalia; Diprotodontia; Macropodidae
Source: RNAcentral